RNAcentral lists this small RNA (100 nucleotides) under Escherichia coli. RNAcentral's name for it is "partial RtT sRNA". It matches the Rfam family "RtT RNA", at positions 33 to 130 of the family's 130-position model. Rfam says of the family: This family represents a bacterial cis-regulatory element known as RtT RNA. The exact function of RtT is unknown although it is thought that it may be involved in changing the cellular response in relation to amino acid starvation. Lineage: Bacteria; Pseudomonadati; Pseudomonadota; Gammaproteobacteria; Enterobacterales; Enterobacteriaceae. The record is from RNAcentral.
UGACUAAGGUUCGACUCGAGCGCCAGCGAGAGAGCGUUGCCGCAGGCAACGACCCGUAGGGCGAAGCGCGCAGCGCUGAGUAAUCCUUCCCCCACCACCA